Molecule: transfer RNA, 73 nt
Filed under: Trebouxiophyceae sp. MX-AZ01
Lineage: Eukaryota; Viridiplantae; Chlorophyta; Trebouxiophyceae
Description: tRNA-Lys
Rfam family: tRNA
About the family: Transfer RNA (tRNA) molecules are approximately 80 nucleotides in length. Their secondary structure includes four short double-helical elements and three loops (D, anti-codon, and T loops).
Source: RNAcentral
GAGUACAUAGCUCAGCCGGAAGAGCACCGAGCUUUUAACUCGAUGGCCGUAGGUUCGAAUCCUUCUGUACUCA